Long non-coding RNA from Mercenaria mercenaria, 862 nucleotides. RefSeq lists it as uncharacterized. The transcript is spliced from 4 exons. The record is from RefSeq and is a predicted model, not a curated record. Lineage: Eukaryota; Metazoa; Mollusca; Bivalvia; Venerida; Veneridae.
UUGUUUAAAAGGGUUCCAGUUAUGUUUUUGUUGUUGUUUUACUAAUUUUGUCCAAUAUAAGAUUGAAUGAUACAUUUUGUAAUGUAACGAUUAAGAGUUAAUCGUGUUCGAAGAUUUGAUUCACAGAAAAUAAUUAGAAUUUUGAUAAGAUCCGCUUUAAGCAUGCUUAUGACGUGAGCACAAAAGUACAAAUUUGUUUUUUUUUUAUAUAUAAAAUGCCAUUAGAUAUGAUCCGUGGCAAAAUACGAGCCAUGCCAUGAGAAAACCAACAUAGUGGCUUUGCGACCAGCUUAUGUGCAGUCUGGUCAGGAUCCAUGCUGUUCGCUAACGGUUUCUCUAAUUGCAAUAGGCUUUGAAAGCGAACAGUAUGGAUCCUGACCAGACUGCACAGAUGCGCAGGCUGGUCUGGAUCCAUGCUGGUUACAAAUGCACUAUGUUGGUUUUCUCGUGGCGUGGCUCAUAUUAUUAUUUCGUUACACUUUCACAAUACUUUAAUAGAUAAGUAUAAAUUUCUUUUUCAGUGAACAAGUUAUUGUGAGAUAGUCUGAUUACUUUGGAGCCGCCAGAUUGUGUAUGAAAUCCUGAACAAAGUAUUUCAACAACUUUUUCAUGAACCACAGAAACUUUACCUUUUUAAAUUGUAGGACCAGACAUUGUGAGAAAGUUUGAUUGCAUUCACUGCCAGAGCUAAAGCUAGAAAAGAAACUAAACAACUUCUUCUCAUGAUCUGCUUAAUUGAUCUUCACAUUGAAUUGUCAACCUGUAUGCUACAUUGUAUAAUGACGUUGAGCAAAUAAAGAUACUGCAGUUAGCGUUACAACCUUCAUUAAACAGAAUGAAUUGGUGUUACAGAAAUGGAUAA